UUAAAGAAUUGGAAGACCUCAACUUGCAUACUAGAAGAAUUUGAAGACCUCAACUUGCACACUUGAAGAAUUUGAAACCUUAACU
RNAcentral lists this microRNA precursor (85 nucleotides) under Solanum lycopersicum (tomato). RNAcentral describes it as "MIR8024 microRNA precursor family". It matches the Rfam family "MIR8024 microRNA precursor family". Lineage: Eukaryota; Viridiplantae; Streptophyta; Magnoliopsida; Solanales; Solanaceae. The record is from Rfam by way of RNAcentral.